RNAcentral lists this ribosomal RNA (473 nucleotides) under uncultured bacterium. Its description in RNAcentral is "bacterial SSU rRNA". It matches the Rfam family "Bacterial small subunit ribosomal RNA", at positions 355 to 825 of the family's 1533-position model. The record is from RNAcentral.
UGGGGAAUAUUGGACAAUGGGCGCAAGCCUGAUGACGCAACGCCGCGUGGGGGAUGAAGGUCUUCGGAUCGUAAACCCCUGUCGAAUGGGACGAAAGACUCGCGAGUGAAUACUUCGCGAGAGUGACGGUACCGUUAAAGGAAGCCACGGCUAACUCUGUGCCAGCAGCCGCGGUAAUACAGAGGUGGCAAGCGUUGUUCGGAAUUACUGGGCGUAAAGGGCGCGUAGGCGGCCCUCUAAGUCAGACGUGAAAUCCCCCGGCUUAACCUGGGAACUGCGUCUGAUACUGGAGGGCUUGAGUAUGGGAGAGGGAUGUAGAAUUCCAGGUGUAGCGGUGAAAUGCGUAGAUAUCUGGAGGAAUACCGGUGGCGAAGGCGGCAUCCUGGACCAUUACUGACGCUGAGGCGCGAAAGCUAGGGGAGCAAACGGGAUUAGAUACCCAAGUAGUCCCUGAGCGGGCUGGCAAGGCGCAU